This 890-nucleotide ribosomal RNA is filed under the name Gnomoniopsis alderdunensis. RNAcentral's name for it is "LSU rRNA". It matches the Rfam family "Eukaryotic large subunit ribosomal RNA", at positions 43 to 965 of the family's 3401-position model. The record is from RNAcentral. Lineage: Eukaryota; Fungi; Ascomycota; Sordariomycetes; Diaporthales; Gnomoniaceae.
UCAAUAAGCGGAGGAAAAGAACCAACAGGGAUUGCCCUAGUAACGGCGAGUGAAGCGGCAACAGCUCAAAUUUGAAAUCUGGCUUCGGCCCGAGUUGUAAUUUGCAGAGGAUGUUUAUGGUGCGGUACCUUCCGAGUUUCCCUGGAACGGGACGCCACAGAGGGUGAGAGCCCCGUCUGGUUGGAUACCAAACCUGUGUUAAACUCCUUCAACGAGUCGAGUAGUUUGGGAAUGCUGCUCUAAAUGGGAGGUAAAUCUCUUCUAAAGCUAAAUACCGGCCAGAGACCGAUAGCGCACAAGUAGAGUGAUCGAAAGAUGAAAAGCACCUUGAAAAGGGGGUUAAACAGUACGUGAAAUUGUUAAAAGGGAAGCGUUUAUGACCAGACUUGUGUCGUGUGGCUCAUCCGAGGUUCUCCCCGGUGCACUCCACACGGCUCAGGCCAACAUCGGUUUUCGUUGGGGGAUAAGAACAGCAGGAACGUGGCCCUUCUCGGAGGGUGUUAUAGCCUGCUGUACGAUACCCUGAUGGGGACCGAGGACCGCGCUUCGGCUAGGAUGUUGGCGUAAUGGUCAUUAGCGACCCGUCUUGAAACACGGACCAAGGAGUCGUCCAUUAGAGCGAGCGUUUGGGUGUAAAACCCGCACGCGUAAUGAAAGUGAAAUUAGGUGAGAGCUUCGGCGCAUCAUCGACCGAUCCUGAAGUUUACGGAUGGAUUUGAGUAAGAGUUUUAACGGACGGACCCGAAAGACAGUGAACUAUGCUUGAAUAGGGUGAAGCCAGAGGAAACUCUGGUGGAGGCUCGCAGCGGUUCUGACGUGCAAUCGAUCGUCAAAUUUGAGCAUGGGGGCGAAAGACUAAUCGAACUGUCUAGUAGCUGGUUACCGCCGAU